Molecule: long non-coding RNA, 271 nt
Filed under: Zostera marina
Lineage: Eukaryota; Viridiplantae; Streptophyta; Magnoliopsida; Alismatales; Zosteraceae
Description: long non-coding RNA (ZMAR_LNC003903)
Source: RNAcentral
CCGUGAAGACGCCUUACUUUCGGGACGGCCCGCCGCCUAAACGUAACAAGAAAAGGCAAGUCGACGAGGUUCACUUCGAGACUCCCCUUGAUGCGUCUCCCCUCAAGACUAUCGCGGUCGGUGCCCCGGACUCCCAUCGUGAUGCUUUCUCUGCUCCUGGUGCCCCGGACGCCCCCCUUCGAGACAGCCGGUCCGACCGACGGCAAAGGAAAAAGACUCGGGCUGAGAAACGAAAGUCGGUCGCCGCCUCCCUGGCGAAGGAUUCGGUCCA